Molecule: ribosomal RNA, 163 nt
Filed under: Saxifraga oppositifolia
Lineage: Eukaryota; Viridiplantae; Streptophyta; Magnoliopsida; Saxifragales; Saxifragaceae
Description: 5.8S ribosomal RNA
Rfam family: 5.8S ribosomal RNA
About the family: 5.8S ribosomal RNA (5.8S rRNA) is a component of the large subunit of the eukaryotic ribosome.
Source: RNAcentral
AAUGACUCUCGGCAACGGAUAUCUCGGCUCUUACAUCGAUGAAGAACGUAGCAAAAUGCGAUACUUGGUGUGAAUUGCAAAAUCCCGUGAACCAUCGAGUCUUUGAACGCAAGUUGCGCCCGAAUCCAUCUGGUUGAGGGCACGUCUGCCUGGGGGUCACGUA